This 253-nucleotide ribosomal RNA is filed under the name uncultured bacterium. Its description in RNAcentral is "partial 16S ribosomal RNA". It matches the Rfam family "Bacterial small subunit ribosomal RNA", at positions 524 to 776 of the family's 1533-position model. The record is from RNAcentral.
GACGAACCGAGCGAACGUUAUUCGGAAUCACUGGGCUUAAAGGGCGCGUAGGCGGGCCGGCAAGUCCGGGGUGAAAGCCCCCAGCUCAACUGGGGAAGUGCCUCGGAUACUGCCGGCCUCGAGGGAGGUAGGGGCGUGCGGAACUUCCGGUGGAGCGGUGAAAUGCGUAGAUAUCGGAAGGAACACCGGUGGCGAAAGCGGCGCGCUGGACCUCUUCUGACACUGAGGCGCGAAAGCCAGGGGAGCGAACGGG